GAUGAACGCUGGCGGCGUGCCUAAUACAUGCAAGUCGAGCGAAUAGACGAGGAGCUUGCUCCUCUGACGUUAGCGGCGGACGGGUGAGUAACACGUGGAUAACCUACCUAUAAGACUGGGAUAACUUCGGGAAACCGGAGCUAAUACCGGAUAAUAUAUUGAACCGCAUGGUUCAAUAGUGAAAGACGGUUUUGCUGUCACUUAUAGAUGGAUCCGCGCCGCAUUAGCUAGUUGGUAAGGUAACGGCUUACCAAGGCAACGAUGCGUAGCCGACCUGAGAGGGUGAUCGGCCACACUGGAACUGAGACACGGUCCAGACUCCUACGGGAGGCAGCAGUAGGGAAUCUUCCGCAAUGGGCGAAAGCCUGACGGAGCAACGCCGCGUGAGUGAUGAAGGUCUUCGGAUCGUAAAACUCUGUUAUUAGGGAAGAACAAAUGUGUAAGUAACUAUGCACGUCUUGACGGUACCUAAUCAGAAAGCCACGGCUAACUACGCG
This 497-nucleotide ribosomal RNA is filed under the name uncultured bacterium. RNAcentral describes it as "partial 16S ribosomal RNA". It matches the Rfam family "Bacterial small subunit ribosomal RNA", at positions 28 to 507 of the family's 1533-position model. The record is from RNAcentral.